This 468-nucleotide ribosomal RNA is filed under the name uncultured bacterium. RNAcentral describes it as "partial 16S ribosomal RNA". It matches the Rfam family "Bacterial small subunit ribosomal RNA", at positions 28 to 507 of the family's 1533-position model. The record is from RNAcentral.
GACGAACGCUGGCGGCGUGCUUAACACAUGCAAGUCGAACGGAAAGACCCUGCUUUUGUGGGGUACUCGAGUGGCGAACGGGUGAGUAACACGUGAGUAACCUGCCCUUGACUUUGGGAUAACUUCAGGAAACUGGGGCUAAUACCGGAUAGGAGCUCCUGCUGCAUGGUGGGGGUUGGAAAGUUUCGGCGGUUGGGGAUGGACUCGCGGCUUAUCAGCUUGUUGGUGGGGUAGUGGCUUACCAAGGCUUUGACGGGUAGCCGGCCUGAGAGGGUGACCGGCCACAUUGGGACUGAGAUACGGCCCAGACUCCUACGGGAGGCAGCAGUGGGGAAUAUUGCACAAUGGGCGGAAGCCUGAUGCAGCAACGCCGCGUGCGGGAUGACGGCCUUCGGGUUGUAAACCGCUUUCGCCUGUGACGAAGCGUGAGUGACGGUAAUGGGUAAAGAAGCACCGACUAACUACGUG